GAUUAGAGUUUGAUCAUGGCUCAGAACGAACGCUGGCGGCAUGCCUAACACAUGCAAGUCGAACGAACCCUUCGGGGUUAGUGGCGCACGGGUGCGUAACGCGUGGGGAUCUGCCCUUUGCUUCGGAAUAACAGUUAGAAAUGACUGCUAAUACCGGAUGAUGUCGAAAGACCAAAGAUUUAUCGGCAAAGGAUGAACCCGCGUAGGAUUAGCUAGUUGGUGGGGUAAAGGCCUACCAAGGCGACGAUCCUUAGCUGGUCUGAGAGGAUGAUCAGCCACACUGGGACUGAGACACGGCCCAGACUCCUACGGGAGGCAGCAGUGGGGAAUAUUGGACAAUGGGCGAAAGCCUGAUCCAGCAAUGCCGCGUGAGUGAUGAAGGCCUUCGGGUUGUAAAGCUCUUUUACCAGGGAUGAUAAUGACAGUACCUGAGAAUAG
Molecule: ribosomal RNA, 438 nt
Filed under: uncultured bacterium
Lineage: Bacteria
Description: bacterial SSU rRNA
Rfam family: Bacterial small subunit ribosomal RNA
Source: RNAcentral